GGUUGUAGCUCAGUGGAAGAGCACUUGCCUAGCAUGUGUAAGGCACUGGGUUCGAUUCUCAGCACUA
RNAcentral lists this transfer RNA (67 nucleotides) under Marmota monax (woodchuck). Its description in RNAcentral is "tRNA.Ala". The record is from RNAcentral. Lineage: Eukaryota; Metazoa; Chordata; Mammalia; Rodentia; Sciuridae.